RNAcentral lists this long non-coding RNA (349 nucleotides) under Salvia miltiorrhiza (redroot sage). RNAcentral's name for it is "long non-coding RNA (SMIL_LNC014342)". Lineage: Eukaryota; Viridiplantae; Streptophyta; Magnoliopsida; Lamiales; Lamiaceae. The record is from RNAcentral.
AAAUUUGAUAAUUAGGAGGGGUACGAUCGCCUCAAUAAUCCCGGCGGGAUGAAGCUCGGCCGCCUCCGCCUCUUCGUCGUCCCCAAUCGUCGGCGAACAUCGAACAGCUCCUCGUUGAGACGGCGUCAACUAAAUCGGAAGACUGGUUCUUCAACACUCUCACGCCGCCGCCGACGAGGGUGGAAGGUUUCUCAGAAUCUUGUCUGGUUAAUUGUCUCCUCGGUCUUGGACGAUGAAUCGGUUGGAGAAGGAGAUGAUCGCCGGCAAAGAUGGGGAGGGUUAAAUUGGGGGGCCGAAAGGUGAGGGAAAUGAAAACAAUGGGAUGAAAAAUGUGAACAUAAUUAUGAGG